RNAcentral lists this non-coding RNA (30 nucleotides) under Mus musculus (house mouse). Lineage: Eukaryota; Metazoa; Chordata; Mammalia; Rodentia; Muridae. The record is from RNAcentral.
UGGAAAAAUUCAUCUGCUUGCCCUCAAGGU